CAGCCGCCGCGGGAAUACGUAGGUGGCAAGCGUUGUCCGGAAUUAUUGGGCGUAAAGGGCUCGCAGGCGGUUUCUUAAGUCUGAUGUGAAAGCCCCCGGCUCAACCGGGGAGGGUCAUUGGAAACUGGGAAACUUGAGUGCAGAAGAGGAGAGUGGAAUUCCACGUGUAGCGGUGAAAUGCGUAGAGAUGUGGAGGAACACCAGUGGCGAAGGCGACUCUCUGGUCUGUAACUGACGCUGAGGAGCGAAUGCGUGGGGAGCGAACAGGAUUAGAUACCCGCGUAGUCCCUGUCUCUUAUAC
This 301-nucleotide ribosomal RNA is filed under the name uncultured bacterium. Its description in RNAcentral is "partial 16S ribosomal RNA". It matches the Rfam family "Bacterial small subunit ribosomal RNA", at positions 509 to 807 of the family's 1533-position model. The record is from RNAcentral.